UCCUGAAGGGCCGAGGUAGACGACCUCGUUGAUAGGCUGGAGGUGGAAGCCCUGUGAGGGGUGGAGCUGACCAGUACUAAUAGCCCGUGCGUCUUGUUUU
RNAcentral lists this ribosomal RNA (100 nucleotides) under Desulfovibrio piger. RNAcentral describes it as "partial 23S ribosomal RNA". It matches the Rfam family "Bacterial large subunit ribosomal RNA", at positions 2825 to 2925 of the family's 2925-position model. The record is from RNAcentral. Lineage: Bacteria; Pseudomonadati; Thermodesulfobacteriota; Desulfovibrionia; Desulfovibrionales; Desulfovibrionaceae.